RNAcentral lists this ribosomal RNA (468 nucleotides) under uncultured bacterium. RNAcentral describes it as "bacterial SSU rRNA". It matches the Rfam family "Bacterial small subunit ribosomal RNA", at positions 43 to 524 of the family's 1533-position model. The record is from RNAcentral.
CAGGCCUAACACAUGCAAGUCGAACGGUGAUGCGGAGCUUGCUCCGCGGAUCAGUGGCGAACGGGUGAGUAACACGUGAGUAACCUGCCCUUGACUCUGGGAUAAGCGUUGGAAACGACGUCUAAUACCGGAUAGGACUCCAUCGGGCAUCUGGUGGGGUGGAAAGAUUUUUCGGUCAUGGAUGGACUCGCGGCCUAUCAGCUUGUUGGUGGGGUGAUGGCCUACCAAGGCGACGACGGGUAGCCGGCCUGAGAGGGUGACCGGCCACACUGGGACUGAGACACGGCCCAGACUCCUACGGGAGGCAGCAGUGGGGAAUAUUGCACAAUGGGCGAAAGCCUGAUGCAGCAACGCCGCGUGAGGGAUGACGGCCUUCGGGUUGUAAACCUCUUUUAGCAGGGAAGAAGCGAGAGUGACGGUACCUGCAGAAAAAGCACCGGCUAACUACGUGCCAGCAGCCGCGGUAAU